UCUAAUUUUCUCUAUUAUGUUCACCACAAUGGCUAAUCAAUAAAGCUUCGGAAAAUUACCUGAAAACACUAAUUACAUUACCUCCAAUCUCAGCAGAGUGGAGCUCCAUUUCAGGAGCAGGACGUGAGGGUGGUUGUCGCUCUCCUGUCCAAGAAGCGCGUCAUUAAGUAAUAUUUCAUCUAAGUUCAGCUAAAUUGUGAAGAAUUUAGAUGUCAGUGGGUUUUGGUACCUGGAGGUCUUACCAAGUCGUCUAUAAAACAUGGAAUUUAGAAUUUGAAAGCAACCAUACAACCCUCCCUUUCACAAUGCUCACAUUGAAAUGGGCUGAAAGCUUUUUUUUAAGCACAUUUCCCAUUUUUUUUUUCUCCCAAUUUGGAAUGGCCACUUUUUGUCACCUCUCAAGCUCAUUGCUACAAACUGUGAUAUUAAUUUAGGAUACAUGUUAAUUAACCUUUGUUUAUGCAUGGUAUGUUGACUGUGCAUGCAUGCUCUUUUAAAGCAAUGCUGUGUUAAUGCCCCCCUCCAUAUAGUCUAACCUGUACAUCUUUUGGAUUUUGGGAGAAAACCAGAGUACCCGGAUGAAACCCAUGCAGGCACUGGGAAAACACGCAAACUCCACACAGAAACGCCUUGGAUCUGAACUCAUGACCUAGUGCUCUCCACUGCCUCACCGUGCUGCACAUUGCAUGCUCUGCUCUGAAACAUGAUGUCAAACAGAUGCUUCUUGCAUCCAAGCCAUUUCAGUUGGUGAGUCUGCGCAGACAUAAGUCGGAGGAUUACUUCAUGUGAAGGAAACGGACGUUGGGCUCCCAAAAGCAAGGGUCUCUACAUAGUGGUGAGAAUUGGUGGACCUGGCCAGCUAGAACCUCCCUCUUUAACCAGUUUGAAGCAUGCUGCUGCCACAUGAUUACAGCUGCUUAAAACUGCAACUGUGAGCAACAGAGUGACACAUAAUUAGCUUCAGAAUUACCCAGAGGACCUGCUGGCCACAUUACUCUUUUAUGCAGUUUUAAAUAGACUGCUCCCACUUCAUGAAGCAUACAAAAAAUUGGAUCAUAAU
This is a long non-coding RNA of Anguilla rostrata (American eel), 1060 nucleotides long. RefSeq lists it as uncharacterized. The record is from RefSeq and is a predicted model, not a curated record. NCBI's taxonomy places the organism in Eukaryota, Metazoa, Chordata, Actinopteri, Anguilliformes, Anguillidae. The transcript is spliced from 3 exons.